This 70-nucleotide transfer RNA is filed under the name Ictidomys tridecemlineatus (thirteen-lined ground squirrel). Its description in RNAcentral is "Spermophilus tridecemlineatus (thirteen-lined ground squirrel) tRNA". It matches the Rfam family "tRNA". Rfam says of the family: Transfer RNA (tRNA) molecules are approximately 80 nucleotides in length. RNAcentral also lists the same sequence under 1 other name. The record is from Rfam by way of RNAcentral. Lineage: Eukaryota; Metazoa; Chordata; Mammalia; Rodentia; Sciuridae.
GGGGAAAUAGCUCAGUUGGUAGAGUGCUUGCCUUGCAUGCACAAGGCCCUGGGUUCAAUCCCCAGCACCA